Molecule: ribosomal RNA, 301 nt
Filed under: uncultured bacterium
Lineage: Bacteria
Description: partial 16S ribosomal RNA
Rfam family: Bacterial small subunit ribosomal RNA
Source: RNAcentral
CAGCCGCCGCGGUAAUACGUAGGGUGCGAGCGUUAAUCGGAAUUACUGGGCGUAAAGCGUGCGCAGGCGGUUAUAUAAGACAGAUGUGAAAUCCCCGGGCUCAACCUGGGACCUGCAUUUGUGACUGUAUAGCUAGAGUACGGUAGAGGGGGAUGGAAUUCCGCGUGUAGCAGUGAAAAGCGUAGAUAUGCGGAGGAACACCGAUGGCGAAGGCAAUCCCCUGGACCUGUACUGACGCUCAUGCACGAAAGCGUGGGGAGCAAACAGGAUUAGAUACCCGCGUAGUCCCUGUCUCUUAUAC